UUAUCAGUUUAAUAUCUGAUAUAUCCUCUAUCUGAGGAUGAUAUGUUAAAUGGAUUUUUGGAGUGGGGAGUUGGAAUAGGAGCUUGCUCUGUCUACUCCACACAUUGAUUUGGUAUUGUAGUACUUCCAGGAGUGGUGCCCCCCCC
Molecule: small nuclear RNA, 146 nt
Filed under: Sus scrofa (pig)
Lineage: Eukaryota; Metazoa; Chordata; Mammalia; Artiodactyla; Suidae
Description: U2 spliceosomal RNA (ENSSSCG00030045459.1)
Rfam family: U2 spliceosomal RNA
About the family: U2 is a small nuclear RNA (snRNA) component of the spliceosome (involved in pre-mRNA splicing).
Source: RNAcentral